This is an RNA transcript of Nycticebus coucang (slow loris), 1940 nucleotides long. It is a transcript of the gene named putative RNA polymerase II subunit B1 CTD phosphatase RPAP2, with no coding region annotated. The transcript has a single exon. Lineage: Eukaryota; Metazoa; Chordata; Mammalia; Primates; Lorisidae. The record is from RefSeq and is a predicted model, not a curated record.
AUGGCUGACAGGGCCAUGUUGCGCUCCUCUGGCUGCAAGGCCCGGGCGUCCCGCUCCUCCCGAAACGCCGCAGGUACUAAACAGACAAGUGCUUUGAAACGAGAAGAUGCUUCUAAAAGGAAAGCAGAACUAGAAGCAGCUGUGAGAAAGAAGAUUGAGUUUGAGAGAAAAGCUCUACAUAUAGUUGAACAGCUUUUAGAAGAGAAUAUUACAGAAGACUUCCUAAUGGAGUGUGAGAAGUUCAUCACACCUGCUCACUACAACGAUGUCGUGGAUGAACAUUCUAUUGUCAAACUCUGUGGAUAUCCUUUAUGUCAGAAGAGACUGGGAAUUGUACCAAAACAGAAAUAUAAAAUUUCCACAAAAACCAAUAAAGUCUAUGAUAUUACUGAAAAAAAGGCUUUUUGCAGUAAUUUUUGUUACCAAGCAUCUAAGUUUUUUGAAGCACAAAUUUCCAAAACUCCAGUAUGGGUUCGAGAAGAAGAGAGGCAUCCCGAUUUUCAGCUGCUAAAAGAAGGACAAAGCAGCCAUGCUGGAGAAGAAGUACAGUUAUGCAGUAAAGUCAUUAAAACAUCAGAUAUUGACAAGUCCAGCCAUUUUGAAAAGCAGUAUGAAUCUAGUUCUACUAGCACUCAUAGUGAUAGUAGCAGUGAUAAUGAGCAAGACUUUGUUUCCUCCCUUCUACCAGGAAACAGACCAAAUUCAACAAGUAUUAGGCCACAGCUACACAGAGAAAGCAUAGUGAAAAAGAAAGCUGGUCAAAAAGUUAAUUCCAAACUCAAAGACAAAGAACAGACUGUAGUAGGUGUCACUGAACAGUUAGCAAUUGCAGAUUAGAUAGGAGAAAGAUGUCGCAUAUGAACUUCCUUUGAAGAAAGUAAAUACUCAGAUUUCUUUAAGUAGUACUUUGCUUGAGAGAUCAAAAUCUUCUGAAAAUUCUGAUUAUAAAUACAGUAGGUCAGAUAUAACUCUAGUAGGCAUAAGUAAAAAAAGUGCUGAGCAUUUUAAGAAAAAAUUUGCCAAAUCAAACCAAGUUUUUGGGUCAGUCUCUAGUUCAGUGCAGGUGUGUCCUGAAGUUGCAAAGACCAACUUACUUCAAGUUUAGAAGGAGACUUUGAGUGGAAGACAGAAGAAACUUUGAGGUUUUUGUAUGGCCAGAAUUAUGCUUCUGUAUGUCUGAAACCCUCUUCAACCCCUAUGGUUAAAGAAGAACUUGAUGAGGAUGACAUAAACUCUGACCCAGAUAGUCAUUCCCCUUCCUGGAGGGAACCUCAGAACAGCUUGGAUGAGUCUUUACCUUUUAGUGGCUCAGAUACAGCCAUUAAACCUUUGCAAGUUAUGAGAACUUGAAAAAAGAAACUGAAAAAUUAAAUCUAAGGAUCAAGGAGUUUUAUAGAGGACGAUAUGUUUUGAAUGAAGAAACUACCAAAUCACAAGACUUAGAAGAGCAUGAUCCCACCUUUCCACAGAUAGAUUCAAGUUCCCAGAACCAAAUUAGAAAACACAUCGUACUUGAAAAAUUGAGUAAAGUAUUACCUGGACUUUUGGGUCCUCUUCAUAUUACCUUGGGAGAUAUUUACACAAAACUUAAAAAUCUUGUCCGAACUUUCAGGUUAACAAAUAGAAGUAUUAUACACAAACCUGCAGAGUGGACUUUAAUUGCUGUAGUGUUGCUGUCAUUACUGACCCCAACUCUUGGCAUUACGAAGCAUUCUCAGGAAAAUGAGAUGUUUACACGGUUUAUAGCCACCCUGCUGGACGAAUUACAUUUAAAGAAUGAAGACCUUGAAACUUUAACCACCAUAUUUAGAACCAGCUGUUAAACAAACUGAUAUAUUCCAUGAAGACAAGACCAGAAAAUGAACUUCUCUUCACCAUUUCUAGAAUUCUAGCCACCAUGAUUGUCUGGUGGUAACUGAUAACCAGCUUUUAUUUCAAGA